Non-coding RNA from Lolium perenne, 3402 nucleotides. The record is from RefSeq and is a predicted model, not a curated record. Lineage: Eukaryota; Viridiplantae; Streptophyta; Magnoliopsida; Poales; Poaceae.
CGUUUCUCUCUCCCCCAAUCCCCACUCACGGUUCCUCUCCCCCAAUCCCCAUGGUUCUUCUUCCAAUUCCUCAACCCUAGGCCAAUCCCGACCCUGCUCGCCGCCAGCUCCUGCCCCUCUCUCUUCCUCGGCUCCAAUGGAGCGAAGCCGGCGAUGCGAGGCCUCCUCCCCUUUCCACGGUUCCUGAGCAGGCGCGCACGCGAGCGCGCAAGGGCAUGCGCGGGGCGGGCUGGUGACCAAGGCGAGGCCAGCAGGUGACGGUGGUGAGGGGCCUAUGCGCGGCGGGCUGCUGCUGUGCUCCGCCUCUCCAUCCCCCCAUCGAGGCGGAGGACGACAUGGCACCAGCGACGUCGCAGGAGCAUGCACCCGAGACGGCCAUCCAUGGCGCUAUUGUUGUCGAUCUGUCUGUCGCUGCUGUGUGCUCCGCCCCGCUGCCCUCCUCCUCUCCUCACUCUCCAUGAGCUCACGCCGAUAUGCCGUGACAUCCCACAAAACCGGCGGCGUGAGGAGGCCGUGGAUGGCGCUACUACUGCACGAUUCAUCGCCACUGAGAUAUAUCAUGUAAUUUCACUUGGAGAGGAGAAGAGAAGCGAAGAGGAAGUGGAAGAGGAAGUGGCAGAUCUAUGGGAGAAUCCCGAAAUACAUAUAUUUGAAUUUGGUACCCACCUAAAUGUGCAUAUGGUAUUCCCGGAAGAUGUUAUAUUGGUUGCUUGGAUUCUCUCGGAAUGCUAUUCUAUAUCUUAUAUGCUCCUAUUACGGAAAAUAAUCGAGUAUGAAGAAAAUAAUAUGACGCUGGUCUGUCCCUAAUCCCUUCUUUCAUGCCCAGGGGAGCCGUGUUGUUCCUGUUCUCCUCCACAUGUUUGGUCUGCCUCUGUGUAUUUAUUUUAUUAUCAAUUACGCAAUAAUGAUUUUCUGAUGGUUAUUGUCUCUGCAAUUGGCCUGUUACACUUGAUUCUGUUGUUGUCCAGGGGUACUUUUCUUCGUAUACCUCUACAUUUAUUUGGAAUAUAUGCAGAUAUGUACCUCUAAAGAAGAGAUAUCUCGGUGUGAUCAUGAAAGUGAGAAGUUGAUUCAAUGCAUGUUCAUCUACCGAGGUCCUUCUGUUAGUUGGAGUUAUGGCUACUCUUUUUCGCCUUCACCGUCCUCUUGAGAGAGUCUUCAUUUCGCCAGGUUUUGGAGAUAAAGAUCAUUAGCUGCUACGAGCUAAGACUUCAUACAUAUAUACUUUUCUUUCCUCCUAGCAUCAAUAUUACAAUAAUCAUUGAUAUGUGGUCCAAACUGGAAAGGUCACAUUAUCGGAGAAGGGUAGAGAAGGAUCGGCAGAACAUGAAUGGGCUACAUGCCCAUCUAUUUUUGUGAUUCAAGAGGUGGCCGCCUCCCUAUCUACCUCUCGGAAGUGGCCGCCGUGGUACUUGAUCGUGGCCAAGCGAUUCAGCACCGAGGUCAUCGACCUCACCAAAGAGAACUUCUCUGACAAGCAGGGUAAUGCUACUUCAAACUGAUGCUUCUUUGUACCAUGUUUAUAUCAUCUCUUUCAUCGCUUGCGAUGAAGCAAUAGUAUAUUUAUAAUCAUGAACUAAUCAUUCAGAGUGGUGGAAUUUCAAAUACUAUUGCUUUUCCAUUUUGUCAUUUGCAUCGUCUUUGAUAGAAGGUUGUUUCUGAAAUAAUCCUCCUGCAGACAUAGCCAUCGGUCGUGAAGCCUCCUGGAUCUAGGUAUGUCUUCAUGUCCUUGAGCUUUCAGAUGUGAAGAUGGCCUUGAUCGGGAAACCAUCGCCUGGGUCGAAAACUACGGAAGAGUUUGCUCCUCAGCCUCGGUCUGAUAAGGUUGGUCUGGCUGCAGCUGGUGCUCCAGAUUCUCCGCCUACCUCAUCCACCGCGAUGACAAACAACCCUUCAACCAAGUUGUUCUUCCGUUCUUUUAUAUAUUCGUCUGCUCGUUUUGUUGAUUAAAGAUGGACAGAAGCGUGACAUUGUUGGACCCAUCUCAUGGGACUUACUGUGUUGUAUCCUAAUAGUAACCUCGCACGCAAUGCUAUACUGCAGACCCUUGGGCAUGUCAAACUGUCUCCAGGGAUUUGAAGCUCCAUUUAAAUUAUGCUGCGGUCAGGUUAUCGGGUGAGCCUAUGUGCUUAUUCACAUUAAUUUUUUUUAUAGCAGAUUUCAUUGUAUCCAAGAAACCUAAGUAAUCAGAAGUAUGGCUCACUCAUGUGAGUCUUAUACAUUAGGGAUAUUCAUAUACAAUUACAUUGAAUCCGGUACUAACUUCUGCUACUCUAGGGAUUUUUAAAUAUUGAUGACAGUGAUUCUUCUGCUCAGAUUAUCCAAUGCUUACGUUUUAAGUUGUGUGAUUUGAUUGUUGUGGAUGCAAAGAUUAUCCAAUGCUCAUAUUGUCAACUUCAGUUGUUUCACAUUCUGGUGAUCGUCUUGAACAUACUAUUCUUUUAACUAGCUGAUGGAUCAGAUUGGAGAAUGAAUUAUGAUGGAUUUUUCUUUGUCUUGAGAAAUGCUUUAUCAUUUUGAUGUUGUUUCUUGGAACAUGAUCUGGAAUAAGUUCUGGUUUCAUUCUCCAUUUUUCUAUUUUGAUGUGAUACUCAAACUAAAAGCACGGCAAGGAAACAAUCGUAACAACACUGUCUGUUCCUGGGAUAAAGACAUUUCACGAGAUACUAUUUGGCACUCGCCUUCCAGAUGUGAAUCUAUCAUUGGUUCCUUAUACUGCUUUGUUAUUUGAAUCUUUUCCAUAAUCCUUGAUCGCUUCUUCCCACAAAUAUUUGAUGCCCCUGAUGGGUUGCUGCAGACAAUCAGAUCCAUACAGUUGGGGUUCAUAGCCUCAUCAUUCAUAAUUCAGAUAAUUCUUGGGUAUAGCAAGUUGCAGGCUAUGUGCUCUAGACAUGCUGAGUUUGUACUCUGGACUGAUCUGCAAGAAGGUUUGAUCGCCCUCUUCGGCAUUCAAUGGGAGGAGCACAUGCUGCCUCCAAACCGCAUCAGAGGAUGAGGCAUCGGCCGCCUUCGUAGUGAAAACGAGGACGUCAAGACAAGGAAACUCAAAAGGAUAAUCAAAAUUCUUUUUAGAAUAUUACUCAAUCUUAUGCUAGAAGAACUUGGUGUUUCAAAGGAUGAAUAACAUCUUGAGCUAUGUGAGUAUUGUUCUGUUUAACGCCUCUGCGCUCCAAGCGGAAUGUUCUCCCGUGUACCCCUCGAUGUCUGUAAUAAAGUCCAAGAGCUAUGAAAACAACAUGGAUUCUGCAUGUGUAAAAUCCAUACAUGUGUUGAUCUGGCGACAAAUACAAUCAUCAUAAACUGCUUAUGUCAAUUGUUCAUAAGCGUUUGCUACUCCUUUUGUGAUUUCGUUUGAUUUAUCCUAAUUUCAUCAUACGACUUUUUUUCCUGUGAAACCUGAAA